AGGUAGCUUAACCUUCGGGAGGGCGCUUACCACUUUGUGAUUCAUGACUGGGGUGAAGUCGUAACAAGGUAACCGUAGGGGAACCUGCGGUUGGAUCACUCCUUACCUUAAAGAA
This 115-nucleotide ribosomal RNA is filed under the name Klebsiella pneumoniae. Its description in RNAcentral is "partial 16S ribosomal RNA". It matches the Rfam family "Bacterial small subunit ribosomal RNA", at positions 1428 to 1533 of the family's 1533-position model. Lineage: Bacteria; Pseudomonadati; Pseudomonadota; Gammaproteobacteria; Enterobacterales; Enterobacteriaceae. The record is from RNAcentral.